GAAGGGGGCUAGCGUUGCUCGGAAUUACUGGGCGUAAAGGGCGCGUAGGCGGCGCUGCAAGUCAGGCGUGAAAUUCCUGGGCUUAACCUGGGGGCUGCGCUUGAGACUGUGGUGCUAGAGGACGGAAGAGGCUCGUGGAAUUCCCAGUGUAGAGGUGAAAUUCGUAGAUAUUGGGAAGAACACCGGUGGCGAAGGCGGCGAGCUGGUCCGUUACUGACGCUGAGGCGCGACAGCGUGGGGAGCAAACAGGAUUAGAUACCCUGGUAGUCCACGCCGUAAACGAUGUGCGCUGGAUGUUGGGGCUCUUAGAGCUUCAGUGUCGUAGCUAACGCGGUAAGCGCACCGCCUGGGGAGUACGGCCGCAAGGUUG
This 370-nucleotide ribosomal RNA is filed under the name uncultured bacterium. RNAcentral's name for it is "bacterial SSU rRNA". It matches the Rfam family "Bacterial small subunit ribosomal RNA", at positions 527 to 896 of the family's 1533-position model. The record is from RNAcentral.